ACCAUCAGGUUAGCUGUGAGAAGGAGCUGCUCAAGUCAGUGCCACUUUGUCUGACAGCUGACUACCCUUGGGACGUUACUUUUUGCCUUUCAUUGUAUACAUUUUUGGUACACAAUGCCUGCAAAGAAGAAACAGUUUCCCAAGAACAUAAGCCACAAGAGGAAAAGGAACAUAGAAGCAAUGAUAAGGUCUAGAGCAGCAGCUGCUGUGGGUAGUGACGCCGCCACGAUGCUCGUACCACCACCCUCCUCUCAAGACCUAUCCUUGAGUUGAGGAUAUGAGGAAUUCUAUCAUGGCAAGCUUCUUCCAUUGUUCCUCAACUGAUGAAAAACCUCAGCAUCACCUUUGCCCAACAGGUGAUAAAUCCUGGUGUUUCUACCAGAAUGCAGCAGCAGCAGACCUUCCUCCACUAUCUCACACCAAGAUGAAAGUGCAUUUCCAACUGGAACCUGCAUACAUGGAGGAGGUGCAUAAUGUCUACAAAGACCUAACAUCAGAUGAAAUGAUGCAGCGUUGUAUAAAAGGCAGAACGCAAAACUGUAAUGAAAGUCUGCAUCACCGCAUAUGGUGUUACAGCAAUAAAGCCAAAUAUCAAACCAAGAGGCAUGCUGAUUUCGCAGUCAGCCAUGCUGUUGCUGACUACAAUAGUGGAUAUGUGAGGAGCUGUCUGGACACAGCACUGGGCUACAGACGUUCAGCAGUGACUCAAAAACAACUUGAAUUAAUGGAGAAGAACAUGAAGGAACAACGGAAGCGAAGAGGAAAGAAGAGGAAAAGGGAGCUGGACACGUCCUACGAGCCUGGGGGACAUUAGAUAAUCAUGUGUCCACCUACAUCCAGUCAUAGAUUGAUUGGGAUGGAUUUUUAUGAUUGGCCGGCCACCAGAGAACUUCAGGACAAAGGGAUCUUCAUGGAACUUCAGGAAUAAUGUCUAUAUAACCAGUUCUACUCUCAAUAAACGUAUAAAGGCA
Molecule: long non-coding RNA, 971 nt
Organism: Cherax quadricarinatus
Lineage: Eukaryota; Metazoa; Arthropoda; Malacostraca; Decapoda; Parastacidae
Source: RefSeq, a predicted model, not a curated record